CCUACGGGUGGCUGCAGUGGGGAAUAUUGGGCAAUGGGCGCAAGCCUGACCCAGCAACGCCGCGUGAAGGAAGAAGGCUUUCGGGUUGUAAACUUCUUUUGUCAGGGACGAAGCUAGUGACGGUACCUACCGAAUAAGCCACGGCUAACUACGUGCCAGCCGCCGCGGUAAUACGUAGGUGGCAAGCGUUAUCCGGAUUUACUGGGUGUAAAGGGCGUGUAGGCGGGGCUGCGAGUCAGAUGUGAAAACCACGGGCUCAACCUGUGGCCUGCAUUUGAUACUGUAGUUCUUGAGUACUGGAGAGGCAGACAGAAUUCCUAGUGUAGCGGUGAAAUGCGUAGAGAUUAGGAGGAACACCAGUGGCGAAGGCGGUCUGCUGGACAGCGACUGACGCUGAGGCGCGAAAGCGUGGGGAGCAAACAGGAUUAGAUACCCGUGUAGUC
This 443-nucleotide ribosomal RNA is filed under the name uncultured bacterium. RNAcentral describes it as "partial 16S ribosomal RNA". It matches the Rfam family "Bacterial small subunit ribosomal RNA", at positions 338 to 795 of the family's 1533-position model. The record is from RNAcentral.